This 316-nucleotide long non-coding RNA is filed under the name Phaseolus vulgaris (common bean). Its description in RNAcentral is "long non-coding RNA (PVUL_LNC005132)". Lineage: Eukaryota; Viridiplantae; Streptophyta; Magnoliopsida; Fabales; Fabaceae. The record is from RNAcentral.
AAGAUGAGGUCUCAUCAUGGGAAUCCACCAAGGAAUGUGACUUGUUAGUAUGAGGAGCUAACUGGUUUUUGUUGUCCAAAGAAACCCCCUCUGAAUUUGGUACGUCUAAAUUAACACUUGAAUUUUGUAUGUCCACGGUGAUAGGCAACUUUGUAACUCUUCGUUUCUUUUGUAAUUCAGAAAAUUUACUAUCAUAAAGAACAAUAGCACGACCUUCAGUCUCAUGCUUGUCUGGUUGCACUGUCCCUCUAGUAGUAAUCUUCCGGUUCAUUGGCUCAUUUAAAAUGGUAACAUCAGUACAGGAUUUGGAUCUUCG